This 71-nucleotide transfer RNA is filed under the name Ictidomys tridecemlineatus (thirteen-lined ground squirrel). RNAcentral's name for it is "Spermophilus tridecemlineatus (thirteen-lined ground squirrel) tRNA". It matches the Rfam family "tRNA". From Rfam's summary of the family: Transfer RNA (tRNA) molecules are approximately 80 nucleotides in length. Their secondary structure includes four short double-helical elements and three loops (D, anti-codon, and T loops). Lineage: Eukaryota; Metazoa; Chordata; Mammalia; Rodentia; Sciuridae. The record is from Rfam by way of RNAcentral.
GAGGUUGUGGCUCAGUGGUAGAGCACUUGCCUAAUAAGUGUGAGGCUCUGGGUUCCAUCCUCAGCACCGCA